RNAcentral lists this ribosomal RNA (253 nucleotides) under uncultured bacterium. RNAcentral describes it as "partial 16S ribosomal RNA". It matches the Rfam family "Bacterial small subunit ribosomal RNA", at positions 524 to 776 of the family's 1533-position model. The record is from RNAcentral.
UACGUAGGGUGCAGGCGUUAAUCGGAAUUACUGGGCGUAAAGCGUGCGCAGGCGGUUUGCUAAGACAGGUGUGAAAUCCCCGGGCUUAACCUGGGAACUGCGCUUGUUACUGGCAGGCUUGAGUGUGGCAGAGGGGGGUGGAAUUCCACGUGUAGCAGUGAAAUGCGUAGAGAUGUGGAGGAACACCGAUGGCGAAGGCAGCCCCCUGGGCUAACACUGACGCUCGUGCACGAAAGCGUGGGGAGCAAACAGG